This is a non-coding RNA of Cricetulus griseus (Chinese hamster), 73 nucleotides long. NCBI's taxonomy places the organism in Eukaryota, Metazoa, Chordata, Mammalia, Rodentia, Cricetidae. The record is from Rfam.
GAGGGGAUGGCUCUGUGGUGAAGAGCACUGGCUGCUCUUCUGGAGGACCUGGGUUCAAUUCCCAGCCUCCACA